This 336-nucleotide unclassified non-coding RNA is filed under the name soil metagenome. RNAcentral's name for it is "partial contains 5.8S ribosomal RNA, internal transcribed spacer 2, and large subunit ribosomal RNA". The stretch from base 1 to 120 matches the Rfam family "5.8S ribosomal RNA", at positions 35 to 154 of the family's 154-position model. The record is from RNAcentral.
GAUGAAGAACGUAGCGAAAUGCGAUAAGUAGUGUGAAUUGCAGAAUUCAGUGAAUCAUCGAAUCUUUGAACGCACAUUGCGCCCCUUGGUAUUCCAUGGGGCAUGCCUGUUCGAGCGUCAUUUGUACCUUCAAGCUUUGCUUGGUGUUGGGUGUUUGUCUCGCCUUUGCGUGUAGACUCGCCUUAAAAUAAUUGGCAGCCGGCGUAUUGAUUUCGGAGCGCAGUACAUCUCGCGCUUUGCACUCAUAACGACAGCGUCCAAAAGUACAUAUUACACUCUUGACCUCGGAUCAGGUAGGGAUACCCGCUGAACUUAAGCAUAUCAAUAAGCGGAGGA